CUCACCAUGGUGUAAUGGAUAACACCUGAGAUUCCGGUUCUCAAGCUGGGGGUUCGAUUCCCUCUGGUGAGG
RNAcentral lists this transfer RNA (72 nucleotides) under Marinilactibacillus psychrotolerans. RNAcentral's name for it is "tRNA_Pseudo_CCG". It matches the Rfam family "tRNA". From Rfam's summary of the family: Transfer RNA (tRNA) molecules are approximately 80 nucleotides in length. Their secondary structure includes four short double-helical elements and three loops (D, anti-codon, and T loops). The record is from RNAcentral. Lineage: Bacteria; Bacillati; Bacillota; Bacilli; Lactobacillales; Carnobacteriaceae. RNAcentral also lists the same sequence under 3 other names.